CCUUCCGUAGGGGAACCUGCGGAGGGAUCAUUA
RNAcentral lists this ribosomal RNA (33 nucleotides) under Curvularia geniculata. Its description in RNAcentral is "partial 18S ribosomal RNA". Lineage: Eukaryota; Fungi; Ascomycota; Dothideomycetes; Pleosporales; Pleosporaceae. The record is from RNAcentral.